CAGGGAGACAACAAAAUGUUUAAUAUUAUUAUUUUGUCACCUUAGGUCGAUCGGUAUCUCACGUUUUUAAUUUAUUAAGAAUUUCAUUUCCUAAGUUUUUCUAGGUCACACCCAUUUUUUUUCCUGGGCCAUUAGCUCAGGUGGUUAGAGCGCACCCCUGAUAAGGGUGAGGUCCCUGGUUCAAGUCCAGGAUGGCCCAUAUCUCUAUGUUGGGGGUAUAGCUCAGUUGGUAGAGCGCCUGCUUUGCAAGCAGGAUGUCAGCGGUUCGAGUCCGCUUACCUCCACUGAUUACCACCUCUUCCAUAACCGGUAGAAAGGAAAUUUUUUGAGUCGUGAUCAAAUUCUGAAAGAAUCUAGCUUCCUAAUGAAAUCAUUAAGAUGCUGGACUCAUUGAAUUAAUUUCAUUGUUUUCAGAGAACCUUGACAACUGCAUAGAUUUUUUUAAAAGACAAUAAGCAUCUUUAAUGAUGCAGAUUAAUUAUUUGUGCGAAUGCAUUAAUAACAAUUCUAUUAAGCUGAUGCUUCAAUUUUUGAAGUUAUU
RNAcentral lists this transfer RNA (541 nucleotides) under uncultured Prochlorococcus sp. RNAcentral's name for it is "partial 16S-23S ribosomal RNA intergenic spacer". The stretch from base 212 to 284 matches the Rfam family "tRNA". The record is from RNAcentral. Lineage: Bacteria; Bacillati; Cyanobacteriota; Cyanophyceae; Synechococcales; Prochlorococcaceae.